This 88-nucleotide transfer RNA is filed under the name Coniochaeta ligniaria NRRL 30616. Its description in RNAcentral is "tRNA-His". Lineage: Eukaryota; Fungi; Ascomycota; Sordariomycetes; Coniochaetales; Coniochaetaceae. The record is from RNAcentral.
GGUUCCGUGGUCAAGUGGUUACGACUUAUCAUUGUGGUUCUCCCUUCUACUCCCUGAUACAACCCGUGUUCGAUUCACGGCGGAGCCA